RNAcentral lists this long non-coding RNA (952 nucleotides) under Ovis aries (sheep). RNAcentral's name for it is "lncRNA (ENSOARG00000025759.1)". The record is from RNAcentral. Lineage: Eukaryota; Metazoa; Chordata; Mammalia; Artiodactyla; Bovidae.
AUGGGAGAUCGGAUGAGCGGUGGACUUCACCCUGACCUUACAUUGUUUUCCAGUCCCUCAAUCGUGUCUGACUUUGUGCCCCCACGGACUGCAACAUGCCAGGCUUCCCUGUCCUUCAUUAUCUCCCAGAGUUUGCUCAGACUCAUGUCCAUCAAUUCGGUGAUGCGAUCCAACCAUCUCAUCCUCUGUCACCUCCUUCUCUUGCCUUCAAUCUUUCCCAGCAUCAGCGUCUUUUCCAAUGAGUUGGCUCUUCACAUCAGGAGGCCAAAGUAUUGGAGCUUCAGCCUCAGCAUCAGUCUUUUCAAUGAACGUUCAGGAUUGAUUUCCUUUAGGAUUGACUGACUGAGCUUACAUGUCUACUGGUUGUUCCUGUCACUCCAGAGGUUUCCAUCCCUCAGUGAUUCAGGAGGCCUCUGGGGACCCAGUGGAAAGUGAGAGUAAAGUCGCUCAGUCGUGUCUGACUCUUUGCGACCCCAUGGACUGUAGCCUAUCAGGCUCCUCCGUCCAUGGGACUUUCCAGGCAAGAGUGCUGGAGUGGAUUGCCGUUUCCUUCUCCAGGGGAUCUUCUCAACCCAGGGAUUGAACCCAGGUCUCCCGCAUUGCAGGCAGAUGCUUUACCGUCUGAGCCACCAGGGAAGCCUGGUGAAUGAGGUCAGUUCACUGUGACGCAGCGCUCCAUCAGCUGUAGAUACACACCCUUUAUCUUUUCCUGUCCAUUUAGGUGUGAAGUGAGAAAGCAUGGAAUGUAGUCAAAGACCACUUUGUCUCUCAAGAGAACAGGGAGGAGAUGGGCUGGCCACCUGCUGGGAUGCCAUGGGGAGGGGGCGGUCCCACUUAAAUGUAGGGAGACGGGCUCCCAGCUUUACAUUCCAUGCUCUCUUUUAAAAGUUUAUUUAUUUAUUUAUUGGUUGUGCUGAGUCUUCGUUGCUGCACGCGGGCUUUCUCCUAUUGC